Lineus longissimus is the source of this 2777-nucleotide long non-coding RNA. RefSeq lists it as uncharacterized. The transcript has 5 exons. Lineage: Eukaryota; Metazoa; Nemertea; Pilidiophora; Heteronemertea; Lineidae. The record is from RefSeq and is a predicted model, not a curated record.
UAGCAUGAGUAGUUUGUUCCGAAAUACUAGCGUUGGGAUUGCUGUUCGCCAUCAUGCAAUCGGCCCUCCGUGCCACCCCUGGGAUUUUUAAUGCCACUCGUGCCCACACUCAAGUGUUUUGAAGAAUGUAAAAUCCCGUGUGUGAUAAACAUGUGUAAAGAAACCUUUCGUAAGAAGCCAGAAGAGCUUUACAACAAUCUUGGACUGGGAGAUGGAGGCCAUCAUAAACUUCUUGUAGGAUGAGUUGCCGCAGACAGAGAUGAAAACCAUGAUGAAUGUCCGUGAGCCAGAGGUGGGUCUGAAAUUUGACAAAUGGUCAGCCUUAUUGAUGGUAUCUCUCCAUGAAAGUACAGCACAUGACAGGCGAGAAACUUGAAGCGAAUUGGGUUAAACUGACCGGCUGCAACCAAAUACAGUGCCUAGAGAUGAUUUUGAAUCACUUCAUGCAUUAUCCUGUGGAUAGUCAUGAAACAAUAAAAGACCUACGUACAGAGAUGGGUACAUUUUCAGGCAUAUGGAAUAAUUUGUGCUCAGAGGAACGCAGUGGCACAACGUUUGAGCAUCAACAUUGUGAUCGGGAGGUCCUGGCUUCGAUACCCGGCAUGUGCCACGUUGUAACUCUUACCUUCUGGAUAGGCUGGGCUAUGAUUUGUUUAGUACAACAAUGCAAGGGACUUAACAAAAUUGAGGCGGAAAUAUUCUUGAGGCAGUGUCGGUGCAUAGAAGAAAUGGAAACAUUAAGGAUUAAGGAUUUAUUUCAUAGUGAAUUACACAGUCACAAAUGGAUUACACACAUUUUGGAUUAGACUAGUUUCUGCUGCAACUGACAUUUUUGCAGGUGCCCACUCGUAGGCAAUUCCUUGAUGUCUUCCUUGGAUUUUACAUGAUAUUAUGUCAUUUUCGCCAACAUCGGGUUUUGGCGCCAAGACGUUUGUUCCUAGAACAGUUGAUUUAAAUGCCGAAUGUGGUCAGUUUUAAUUUAUAUCGCAGGUGUCUACCCAAACAAUUUUAGAUGCUUUCUGCUGAAUCUUCUAUUACUACUGUUUUUACUGGGGUUUCAUCGAUGUUUUUUGGUGGAGUGUGACUCUAAAGUAAUAGGCAGCUUGUUAUGCCCCCGCCAAUGCGUAAAGCAUUGCGGAGGCAUUAUGUUUUACCAAUGUCCGUCAGCCGGUAGGCGUCAGGCGUCUGUAAACUUUUCGUUUCCUCUCAUUUUAACAAGAACGCUUUGAGUAAUAACCAUGUAACUUUUUUGUGGGUAGAAAAAGAUAACGUGUACAGCGGGCAUUACAGACCAAUAACUCUUUCACGAUGUCAACUAAACCUAGUCAGCUAUGACACCAGCUGCCCGGGGUUGUCUGAAAAACACUUCACUUUCCUAAUACACCAACUCAAAGUGCUCACCGGGGCAUAUGCUAUGCCCUGCGUUGCUCUUGUUAUUGCAGUAUUUUUGUUCUUCCUCUGGUUCACCUAUAAACUAUUUUUCCAAUCUCCAAUCAUGUUUGAUGCUUUAGCCAUUUUGUUUCAGCUCUUAGAUAGUAGAAAAACGUGUUAUUCAUUAUUUCUGGUAGCACAAGUCCUGGCACGAAAUACCUUUCCCGUCAUAAUAUCAGUACCAAGACAUCACAGGGUAGGUCCUAACUCCAGGAGACGCCUUACUCGUGCACUGUUCCACGUGAAAAGGGUCACUGCUUGGAGAGCUAAAUGGGUCAACAUCAGAAAAGCGCGAUAAUUCAGUCUUUGGAAUUUUUCCUUUUUUUGUGCAAUUUGUUGAUGGAAACUACUUAUGUAGAACAGGAGGUGACUGGGCAGCGGACAGCUGGGUAAUAUUGCCCUUAACCCCUCGCCUCCCUAGAGGGGACGAUAUAUCGUCCCUGUAUUUUGUCUCGCGUAGGCGGUACGAUAUAUCGUCCCUAUACCAAUGCUUUAGUAUAGAACUCUCGGUACACGUUAGACGCUAUUGUACAGUGUAUUCGUGUCCCUGGUGAUCUGCAGAAGACUAGAUUUAGUUUCAUUCAUAGUUUACAGAGGGCGCUGCAGUUUGAUUGGCGCUUGUGCAGCGUCACAGUACAAGAACUGAUUAGCAUAUAAAUUAAUAUUAUGUUGUAUUAUUCGAUCAAUCAGUAAUAGACAAUAGUCAAUCAAAGGUUAUCAAUCAAGUUACGUUGAUCAUUAACAGGUUGUAACUGCAUCAAUUACAGUUCCAUAUACUUUGUUCAAAUCAGAAAAAUCAAUCAAUUAGAGCAAAAUCAAUCAAAAAAUAUUGAUUAUUACUGAUUAUUGAUUACCUCUUACCUAAUUGAUACCCAGAAACAACGCCAAUUGAUAGCCAAGGUAAUCAGCUUUACGAAAAUGUAUGGUUUUAUUAGUCGUACUUCCACCUAUCAAAUCCCCGUGUCUUUUGCGCUUACACCUAUGAAUUGUCGUGUCUAAAUAGACCCGUGUGUCAAAUCCCCGUGUCUAUUAGCCCCAUCGAGCUUGAUGCGGCCAAUCGGGGGCUAAUUUAGACCCGUGUUCAACACAGGUUUUUGAUUGCAAGUUCUAAGAUCCGGCGACAGAUGGCGCGGUGUAGUUGCCUCGGUAUUGCGCAUGCGAAAUUCCCCUCCAACGGGAAAGAAACACAGGAGAGCUCCCUUCCUACAGCGCACCUGUCGCCGGGGCUAUUAAUCAUUAUCUAACACAACUGAUAGGUGUAAGUGCGCCGCGGGUUUUUUGACACACGGCGAAGACACGGGUCUUGAAAAAACACGGGGUUUUAUCAUAGGUGUUCUGUAGGGACU